Long non-coding RNA from Symphalangus syndactylus (siamang), 546 nucleotides. RefSeq lists it as uncharacterized. Lineage: Eukaryota; Metazoa; Chordata; Mammalia; Primates; Hylobatidae. The record is from RefSeq and is a predicted model, not a curated record.
AGGUGAGAAAACUGUUAUCCAAAUAAGAAAGCUGUUUGCCUAGAUGAGAAAAUUGGUUGCUUGGUUAAACUGGUUUAUACAAAUAUUCUAAAGCAAACAGUGAAGGCAAGUAAGGACCCUCAGAAGUACCUACUGAAGCAGAAGUUCUGGGUUGUUCUUUUUGCCAGUCACUGGACAGAGAUGCUGUGACCCCAAGAGGGGGGAAGAAAGAAAUGUUUCUUUCCUACAAGCCCAUAGCCCCAACCCACAGUGACAGAAGCCCCCCAAGAGAUUGUGACCUCUGCACUGGAAUACACUUGCAAGAGUAACAGCAGUGGUGGCAGCAUCUGGAUCCUUGACUGGCAGCAUUAUGGAAAGUUACUGGCCAGAUACUCCUUACUUAAGUUGGCACCAAUCGACUUGCCUGGGGAUCAGUCAAAUGGCGUGAGGCGAGGAGGACUUCAGGAGAUCCUUCCCAGAUGGAUGCCAAACUCCUUUGAUAGCCCUGUCAUUGUCAAGAAUUUCUUCAAGUUUAUGUGUAUAAGAAUAAAAUCUUGUUCAAGUUUA